CACUGCUGCGACUUUGUAUUCGCUUUUGAUUUUGUAUUCGCUUUGGUGGCUUCACUCGCAUAUUCGGCGCGCUCCAUCUGCCUUUUGUUUAUUAAUCUGAGCUAUAUAAUACAACGCAGAUCGACGAAAAAAUAGUCAAGCA
Molecule: long non-coding RNA, 142 nt
Organism: Melitaea cinxia (Glanville fritillary)
Lineage: Eukaryota; Metazoa; Arthropoda; Insecta; Lepidoptera; Nymphalidae
Exons: 3
Source: RefSeq, a predicted model, not a curated record